RNAcentral lists this ribosomal RNA (274 nucleotides) under uncultured bacterium. Its description in RNAcentral is "partial 16S ribosomal RNA". It matches the Rfam family "Bacterial small subunit ribosomal RNA", at positions 524 to 796 of the family's 1533-position model. The record is from RNAcentral.
CACGUAGGGAGCGAGCGUUGUCCGGAUUCAUUGGGCGUAAAGCGCGCGUAGGCGGUCGUGCAAGUCGGUCGUGAAAUCCCGGGGCUCAACCCCGUGAACCGCGUCCGAUACUGCACGACUGGAGGCGGGUAGGGGAGAUCGGAAUUCCUGGUGUAGCGGUGAAAUGCGCAGAUAUCAGGAGGAACACCGGUGGCGAAGGCGGAUCUCUGGGCCCGUCCUGACGCUGAGGCGCGAAAGCUAGGGGAGCGAACAGGAUUAGAUACCCCCGUAGUCC